Non-coding RNA from Paramuricea clavata, 83 nucleotides. Lineage: Eukaryota; Metazoa; Cnidaria; Anthozoa; Malacalcyonacea; Plexauridae. The record is from the annotation of a GenBank genome assembly.
UUUUCUGUGCUGGUGUUGUGUACUCAGGUGAUACAUCAUAGGUCAUCAUAUUCACCUGAGUAACACAACACCAGCACAGAAAA